UAACACAUGCAAGUCGAACGGCAGCACGGGGGCAACCCUGGUGGCGAGUGGCGAACGGGUGAGUAAUACAUCGGAACGUGUCCUGUAGUGGGGGAUAGCCCGGCGAAAGCCGGAUUAAUACCGCAUACGCUCUGCGGAGGAAAGCGGGGGCUCCUUCGGGACCUCGCGCUACGGGGGCGGCCGAUGGCAGAUUAGCUAGUUGGUGGGGUAAAGGCCUACCAAGGCGACGAUCUGUAGCUGGUCUGAGAGGACGACCAGCCACACUGGGACUGAGACACGGCCCAGACUCCUACGGGAGGCAGCAGUGGGGAAUUUUGGACAAUGGGCGCAAGCCUGAUCCAGCAAUGCCGCGUGUGUGAAGAAGGCCUUCGGGUUGUAAAGCACUUUUGUCCGGAAAGAAAACCUCAGCCCUAAUACGGCGGGGGGAUGACGGUACCGGAAGAAUAAGCACCGGCUAACUACGUGCCAGCAGCCGCGGUAAUAAG
This 485-nucleotide ribosomal RNA is filed under the name soil clone WD1. RNAcentral's name for it is "bacterial SSU rRNA". It matches the Rfam family "Bacterial small subunit ribosomal RNA", at positions 49 to 527 of the family's 1533-position model. Lineage: Bacteria; Pseudomonadati; Pseudomonadota; Betaproteobacteria; Burkholderiales; Burkholderiaceae. The record is from RNAcentral.